UUGAUCCCAUGGCUCAGAUUGAACGCUGGCGGCAGGCCUAACACAUGCAAGUCGAGCGGCAGCACGGGUACUUGUACCUGGUGGCGAGCGGCGGACGGGUGAGUAAUGCCUAGGAAUCUGCCUGGUAGUGGGGGAUAACGCUCGGAAACGGACGCUAAUACCGCAUACGUCCUACGGGAGAAAGCAGGGGACCUUCGGGCCUUGCGCUAUCAGAUGAGCCUAGGUCGGAUUAGCUAGUUGGUGAGGUAAUGGCUCACCAAGGCGACGAUCCGUAACUGGUCUGAGAGGAUGAUCAGUCACACUGGAACUGAGACACGGUCCAGACUCCUACGGGAGGCAGCAGUGGGGAAUAUUGGACAAUGGGCGAAAGCCUGAUCCAGCCAUGCCGCGUGUGUGAAGAAGGUCUUCGGAUUGUAAAGCACUUUAAGUUGGGAGGAAGGGCAGUUACCUAAUACGUAUCUGUUUUGACGUUACCGACAGAAUAAGCACCGGC
This 493-nucleotide ribosomal RNA is filed under the name Pseudomonas sp. CL3.141. Its description in RNAcentral is "bacterial SSU rRNA". It matches the Rfam family "Bacterial small subunit ribosomal RNA", at positions 13 to 497 of the family's 1533-position model. Lineage: Bacteria; Pseudomonadati; Pseudomonadota; Gammaproteobacteria; Pseudomonadales; Pseudomonadaceae. The record is from RNAcentral.